This 253-nucleotide ribosomal RNA is filed under the name uncultured bacterium. Its description in RNAcentral is "partial 16S ribosomal RNA". It matches the Rfam family "Bacterial small subunit ribosomal RNA", at positions 524 to 776 of the family's 1533-position model. The record is from RNAcentral.
UACGUAGGGGGCAAGCGUUGUCCGGAAUCAUUGGGCGUAAAGAGCGUGUAGGCGGUCCGGUAAGUCGGCUGUGAAAGUCCAAGGCUCAACCUUGGGAUGCCGGUCGAUACUGCCGGACUAGAGUUCGGAAGAGGCGAGUGGAAUUCCCGGUGUAGCGGUGAAAUGCGCAGAUAUCGGGAGGAACACCCAUGGCGAAGGCAGCUCGCUGGGACGUUACUGACGCUGAGACGCGAAAGCGUGGGGAGCAAACAGG